AUUAUUUUAAAUUUAAGCACUGCAUCACUGCCUAUCUCAUGGUGCAUCUACACUGUAGAAUGAAUGUAGUUUGAUACCACUUCAUUGCAUCAAACAGAAUAUUUGGACGAAUCCAUGCUUAUGUUUUUCAUUUUGUUUUCUAUUGCGGACAGAACAACAUAUCAUUUUGUGGAUGAAACACAAAAUUAAUCCUUUAGAAAAGAAAAAAGAAAAGAGCUGAUUUUCUACGAGGCUGUUUCCCACCCACUCUAAUUGACUGGAGAUUUUCCAGUGUGAGAAGAAUUACAUUUCCUCAUGGUCCCCUAGUCUCUGGAUUCCUUUAACCCUCACACUAUAAACAAGGCUCAAUCCAAGCUCUUCUGCUGUCUGAGGCAGGAGCAAAGGACCUCUCAAAACACUGCUAGUAGAACAGUCAGCUCCCUGAGGUGAGGAGAUACAGAGGAAGUGUCCAGAUACCAAAGCAGAAAAAUCAUCUGCAGCUGUCUCCUCACCUAUUCAUUGGCCAGCUUCCCAUCUGAGCAACCUCUGCCUAUCUAGAAGAAAGGGGCAAAAGUGUCCUCUGGUGACACCUCCACUCAAAUGUGAAGGCACUGGAGAUCUCUGCUCCCGAAAGCAUUGAAUUUCUGGCUUUAGCGAUGGGGUUGUUCAAAAGAUCAUCUGUGAAACAAUAUAACUGUCCUGUCUCUGGAAAAAACAAGUCCUUCAGGAAGAGAUUAGAACAGGGUGAGACAGUCACAAGGGAAAUAGUUCAGUCUAGGUCAUACUCAAGAAGGUUAUCCAAGAAUAUAAGGGAAGUGGAGUACUAAGAUCACAAAUGUUCUGAAGUCAAGGAUGGGAGGCACAGUAAUGGUGUUCAAAGUUAUAGAAGGGGCAAAGGCAAGACAUACCACAGAGGUGGGUUGGGAUCAGGGAUUGCAAGGAAUUAAAUGCAUGGAAAAAUAUCUUCAACUUUGUGAAACAAUUGUAUGCAACAAGAACACAUUUCAGCCAUUGGGAGAUUUCUAGCUGCUUGAUAACACCAGGUGGCUAAUUUUUCAGGAUUUCCUAUUUAUACCUUUGCAAGAUAUGUUGAUUCUGUUGGCACUGUUGUUUUCCUUGUCCUCAUGAUGCAGAUGAUAGGACAUCUCCUAAAUGUCAAUUAUUUCUGACUGAGGUGGGACCUCUUCUUGUUGAAAGUAUUUAUAAUCUAUAUCUGGACCAGGCUGCCCAGGAUUUGGAGCCAGAAGGAUCAGCACAUCUGACACCUUUCAGUUGGAUUCCAGUCAAUUUUCCUCAUCAUCCUGGCCUCAGAUCCAUGCACACAAAGCAGAUAACUACACAAAGCAAGGGAGGUAGUGGGCUGUCAAAAUGUUGUCAUUGUCUUCCUCUGCCAGGGAUGCUUGGGUAGACAUUAAAUGGUAAGUGGGGAAGGAGGUACAGCCAUAGCUUUCACUCUUCUAAGAUAACAGUUGUGCUUCUAUGCCAGUUUCCACUGUGUGAUAAAAUCCUGGAAAUCAAAUGAAUUAAUAGCAGGAAACCAGGUGAGGGAAAUGUUGGGGAGAGGAGGGCAGAGAACAGUUUUGCAGGACGACACACUCACAAUUUUAUCAUCAUUGCUUCAACAAGAGGAAACUAUCCUUACUUCAACUAUAACUAACAAAUCUUUAAAAACUGACAAACGGAUCAAAUAAAUCUAUAUCAGACCUUUUUAUAAUUUGCAAAAAGAUAUAUGGGAGACACAGCAAACAUCUGGAAAGUGGUUCUCUGGCCUGAUGAGACUAAAACUGAAUAUUUAUGCCUUAAUAAAAAAUGCAGUGCUUAUUGUCCUGAGAACACCAUACCCAUUGUGUAGCAUCAUCUUCUGGGAAUGCUUUCUCUUUACAAAAACUGGAAAGCUUAUCCGAAUUGAGGGCAGGAGGGAUGGAACCAAAUAAAAGAUAAUUCUAGAUGAAAUUCUGUUCCUGACUUCAAAAAGCUGGGUGGAGGUUCUCAUUUCAGCUGAACAAUGCUUUGAAACACAUAGCCAAAGAAACAUUUAGUGGUUACCUAAAAGCCCUUAGAAUGACCCAGUGAGAGCUUAUAUUUGAGUUCAAUUGAGAAUCUCUAGUGAAACUUGAAAAGUGGCUGUACAACAAUGUGCCACAGUGCAAUUUUACCAAGAAGAAUAGUCAAAAGUUAAAGGAUCCAGAUAUACAAAGCUAAAAAAAGACUUAGCCAAAAAAAUCUCAACAGCUGCAAUUGUUGCCAAAGGUGUUUGUACCAAGUAUUGAUUUGUGUGUGUGUGUGUGUGUGUGUGUGUGUGAAUUAGGAUGUUGUAUAUAUCUUACUAUAAGGGAAGGCCAUUAUUUGGGGGACAGAAAACUUGUCCCUUAUAAUGCUGGCAAGUAUUCAUUAUUAUAAGGGACAUUCCCUACUGGAGGACAUGAAUGUCUUUCAUUUCAUAUAGACUGAAUAAAAGGCCAAAAAUAAAUUCUUGUAUUUUAGAGUGUGGGCCCUUACUAAGACAGAAAUGUGUGCAUGAUGUAAUUUAUGGUAUUUUUUAAUUGCAGUUUUUUAAAAGAGUAGGCAUAUGUUAAUUUUGCAGAUAAAUGGAAGACUAGGGGUCUUUACAGACAGGCCCUAUAUCCCAGGAUCUGAUCCCAGGUUUUCUGUUUAUCCCAGAUGAUCUGGCAGUGGGGACUCAUAUAAUUCAGUUUAAUACAGAAAACCUGGGAUCAGAUCCUGGGAUAUAGGGUCUGUCUGGAAGGGCCCUAAGUGAGCUGAAAUCAGUACUUUCCUUUGGUUUUGAAGAAAAACUCAUCUUUGUUCAUAACUGCUUGAUUAUUGUCAGCCCUGCACAUCAUUAAUUUUGGCUGUCUCGUAUUGCUAUUUUCUCAAUUUUGUGAGUGUCUUGUGUACAUCAAGUGAUAACAAUAGCAAAUAAAUUCAUAUCAAUCCCAAGUUGUAACUUAACAAAAGGUAGAAAAGUUCAAAAGACACUGUCUGAAUAUUAUUGCAAGGUAAAUUCGAUGUUCCAGGGUAAUGUCCAUAUCAACAUCUCUUAUAAGUAGUUUAUUGCCUUACAUGAUCAAUUAUCGGUGGAAAAUAUUGACUGAAUGUCCAGGUUGAAUGUUGAACAUGAAAUCUACACAGAAAGUCUUCCCUGAAAAGGACUAUUUACCUUUCUUAGGGUACUUUGAUACCAAAAACUUUUUUUUGUGGAUUUAGACCUUGGGAAUAAUAAUCUGUUAAUUAAAACAGUUCUUUAGUGUUUUGACCUUUUCAAAAUUCUGCCUUUUAACAGGAUGAUCAGCCUUCUUUUUGAUAGGUAAGCUUUUUGUGCAGGUUGCCCUUUUGAUGUAGAAAUACUAUCAAAUGAGCAAGUCACCAUAUGAUAUCUGAAAUGCUAUAGUCACAUCACACAAAUGUAUGAAACAUUGUGAAAUAUUGCAACAUGCUUGUAUUUUGUAUCUGGGAAACAGUCCAAGCAUAUUUUUUGACUAAACAAAAUGAUUUUGUCUUAUAUUUAAAUGAACAUAAGCAGGUUGAAAAACAUCUUAGUGCUGUCCUGAAAGCUCUUGAUCAGGUGCUAGGGCAAGACUUUUCAUGAUACUGUAUUGUACUACAGUGUAUCAGAAAUUGUGUUACCGCUAGAGUGGUAGACCUUGCCUUUCCAGGACCUACUUUUUGUUCUUCCCAGAACUUUGUCACCAACCAGACUGCUGAAAAGGAUCUACAUUUAGGAUUUUAUUGCACAACGGUGACAAACUGAUACUGAAGUAGGACUGUCAACUUUAGUGAUCAUUCCUAUACACAACUCAUUGCCAAUCUGCCUCCCUUGUGAUAAACCCAUCUUCUGUUAUUGAUGGGAAAAUGUGAUUAUAGUCACAAUCACAUCAGGUUUUUGUCACCUACCUUAUGUGAUGAGUCUGUUGUGCUUCUGUGCAGGCAUGCACAAUAAUUCAUAGAUAACAACAACAACAACCAUUUACUAAUUGCUGAAUUGCAAAAUUGCUUUAAAAUAUAUAUUUAAAAAAUAUGUACCAGCAGUAUUGUGGGAGGGCAGAGUUAACCAGAGAUACAGCCAUGGGACCAUGGAUCAGUGAAUUGUCCUAGUUGCUUGAAUCCGGAGAUGUGCAAUAGUGAGGGUGCUCAUCUUGGUACGUUGCUGCUAUCUGCGAUCACAUAACUGCCAUGGAAUAGUGGCUUCAUGUGACAAAGAUCUUUAAAAAAGAAGGGAGAGACCGGGGCUUUGUUAUGAAUACUAUAAUUGAAUAAACCUCAAAGAUCUGCACAAAAAUACAUCCUUAUUUAGCUCUUCUUCCAGCAAUAGCAAUUGGGGAGUAAUAAUUUUGGUUGAGACUUUGUUGCCGUUGUUGAAGAAUUUGCAACCAGAAAUUCUUGGUAUCAAUCCUUUGACAAUCAACCAAUAGGUCCCGCUUUUACCCAUCAUAGAAUCAUAGAAUAGUAGAGUUGAAAGAGACCUCAUGGGCCAUCCAGUCCAAUCCCCUGCCAAGAAGCAGGAAAUCGCAUUCAAAGCACCUCCGACAGAUGGCCAUCCAGCCUCUGCUUAAAAGCCUCCAAAGAAGGAGCCUCCACCACAGUCCGGGGGAGACAUAAGAAGCAAUGAAUAAAAUGUUGUUAUGCCUAUUCUACUUUAUAUGUAAACAUUUUUUAAAAAACCUUGUGAAAAAAGUGUUCGAAUAAAGGAUGUAAUGCUGUUCUGUAAAGUUGAAAACAGGCUUUCAGUGAAUGAGAAAAGCUUCCUAUGACUGGAAGAUAUCUUUUGAGUUUAAACUUUUGUUUCAAGAGCAUGAUAAAUUGAGAUGCUUGCUUGGUUAAUCUGGGGGACUUUAAAUUGUGUGGAAAUAUGAAGGAAAUAUGAAUUUUAAUCAAGCUGUAGUUUUGAUUGUUUCAAACACAGAAAUAGUGGCUGGCUUGUGUUUGUUUCUUUGUUUAUAAUACUAAUAUUUGGGGUAAAAA
Anolis carolinensis (green anole) is the source of this 4941-nucleotide long non-coding RNA. RefSeq lists it as uncharacterized. The record is from RefSeq and is a predicted model, not a curated record. Lineage: Eukaryota; Metazoa; Chordata; Lepidosauria; Squamata; Anolidae. The transcript is spliced from 3 exons.